UUAUUAUAUACGAUGCUAUUAUGUAGCACAGAGAGCUAGUUUUCAAAAGAUUUGAUUACGGUAAGUAUGCUUACUACUAAAAAGUAGAAAGGAAUGCGGUCUUACUUGAUAUUUCAGAAGGCAGUUCAAGGUCUCGUCAUCCAUCAAGAGCUUCGAUGUGGUCUUCCAUUUGAAUGUGGCUCAUGAAAGGACUAAACGAGAGAUUCCACGCUGACAGACACUAAAAAUGAUGAAUUUCCACUUGCCCAGUUCAGAAGUACCUAAUGGGUGGGAGCAUACCAUGUACUCUUCUAUACCUUGGUAUCUUUCAAUUAUGUCAUUUUGGAGACUUUCUGGAACAGAACGUGGAGAUCAACCUCAUUUCCAGUGCUGUAUGGUAUUUCAGCCCAAAGGAAAAGAAGUCCACUGAAAAGCUGGGAAUCACAGAACAUUUGGAAUUGGGGGUUCAGAAUUGCAUGCUCCCUGGGCUGGAGCAUCUUUCUCUUCUCUCUGACCAUCCAGCAAAGGAAGAGGAUGAUCUAGAAGCAAUGCUACGUGGAGCUUGGUUUACUUAUGAGGCCAAAAGAGAAUUGCAUUUCUCAUUAUAAUUCUCAUCACAAGAACCCUUACAGUAUGCAAGAACACGACACACAUCUGUGCGGGUCGCUGUGUUUCGUCCCGGGCUGCACACUUCCUGGGUGAUGGUGGCAUGGAACGGGCCUCCCCCAGUUGUCCUUGAAGCUGGAGCUCAGCGAGAAGUGGUUUCUGAGCUUUAGAACCAGCAGUUCCAAUGGCACGAAGACAGACACGGCCCCUGUAUCAUCCGCAGUAAGAGUGGGGGUCUUGUCAUUCACCAGUAGAAAGGAAGAGGACGUUGGACUUCCUAAAAUAAAUUGGGGCUCAAGUCAAGCAGUUUGUCACAGGAUCUGUCCUUGGGUGUCUGGCCUUCUAUCUAUCCUAUUUUUGGUGGCAUGGGAAAAGACGAUUGAAGAACUGCACAUAAAUAAAUAAUUAAAUGACA
Molecule: non-coding RNA, 1000 nt
Organism: Leptonychotes weddellii (Weddell seal)
Lineage: Eukaryota; Metazoa; Chordata; Mammalia; Carnivora; Phocidae
Source: RefSeq, a predicted model, not a curated record